AACGCGAAGAACCUUACCUGGUCUUGACAUACUGAUGACCGGCCCAGAGAUGGGUUUUCCUCUUCGGAGGCAUCAGAUACAGGUGGUGCAUGGUUGUCGUCAGCUCGUGUCGUGAGAUGUUGGGUUAAGUCCCGCAACGAGCGCAACCCCUAUCGUUAGUUGCCAGCAUUAAGAUGGGGACUCUAGCGAGACUGCUAGUGACAAACUGGAGGAAGGUGGGGAUGACGUCAAAUCAUCAUGCCCCUUAUGACCUGGGCUACACACGUGCUACAAUGGUUGGUACAAAGAGAAGCGAAGCGGUGACGUGGAGCAAACCUCAUAAAGCCAAUCUCAGUUCGGAUUGUAGGCUGCAACUCGCCUACAUGAAGUUGGAAUCGCUAGUAAUCGCGAAUCAGAAUGUCGCGGUGAAUACGUUCCCGGGUCUUGUACACACCG
This 435-nucleotide ribosomal RNA is filed under the name uncultured bacterium. RNAcentral's name for it is "bacterial SSU rRNA". It matches the Rfam family "Bacterial small subunit ribosomal RNA", at positions 958 to 1392 of the family's 1533-position model. The record is from RNAcentral.